GACGAACGCUGGCGGCGUGCCUAAUACAUGCAAGUCGAACGCUUCUUUCCUCCCGAGUGCUUGCACUCAAUUGGAAAGAGGAGUGGCGGACGGGUGAGUAACACGUCGGUAACCUACCCAUCAGAGGGGGAUAACACUUGGAAACAGGUGCUAAUACCGCAUAACAGUUUAUGCCGCAUGGCAUAAGAGUGAAAGGCGCUUUCGGGUGUCGCUGAUGGUUGGACCCGCGGUGCAUUAGCUAGUUGGUGAGGUAACGGCUCACCAAGGCCACGAUGCAUAGCCGACCUGAGAGGGUGAUCGGCCACACUGGAACUGAGACACGGCCCAGACUCCUACGGGAGGCAGCAGUAGGGAAUCUUCGGCAAUGGACGAAAGUCUGACCGAGCAACGCCGCGUGAGUGAAGAAGGUCUUCGGAUCGUAAAACUCUGUUGUUAGGGAAGAACAAGGACGUUAGUAACUGAACGUCUCCUGACGGUAUCUAACCAGAAAGCCACGGCUAACUACGUG
This 508-nucleotide ribosomal RNA is filed under the name uncultured bacterium. Its description in RNAcentral is "partial 16S ribosomal RNA". It matches the Rfam family "Bacterial small subunit ribosomal RNA", at positions 28 to 507 of the family's 1533-position model. The record is from RNAcentral.